This 380-nucleotide ribosomal RNA is filed under the name uncultured Cylindrospermum sp. Its description in RNAcentral is "bacterial SSU rRNA". It matches the Rfam family "Bacterial small subunit ribosomal RNA", at positions 376 to 770 of the family's 1533-position model. The record is from RNAcentral. Lineage: Bacteria; Bacillati; Cyanobacteriota; Cyanophyceae; Nostocales; Nostocaceae.
CGAAAGCCUGACGGAGCAAUACCGCGUGAGGGAGGAAGGCUCUUGGGUUGUAAACCUCUUUUCUCAGGGAAUAAAAAAAUGAAGGUACCUGAGGAAUAAGCAUCGGCUAACUCCGUGCCAGCAGCCGCGGUAAUACGGAGGAUGCAAGCGUUAUCCGGAAUGAUUGGGCGUAAAGGGUCCGCAGGUGGCAAUGUGUGUCUGCUGUCAAAGAAUGAGGCUUAACCUCAUCAAGGCAGUGGAAACUACAUAGCUAGAGUACGGUCGGGGUAGAAGGAAUUCCUGGUGUAGCGGUGAAAUGCGUAGAGAUCAGGAAGAACACCGGUGGCGAAAGCGUUCUGCUAGACCUGUACUGACACUGAGGGACGAAAGCUAGGGGAGCG